Molecule: ribosomal RNA, 1373 nt
Filed under: uncultured bacterium
Lineage: Bacteria
Description: bacterial SSU rRNA
Rfam family: Bacterial small subunit ribosomal RNA
Source: RNAcentral
GAUGAACGCUGGCGGCGUGCCUAAUACAUGCAAGUCGAGCGAACGGACGAGAAGCUUGCUUCUCUGAUGUUAGCGGCGGACGGGUGAGUAACACGUGGAUAACCUACCUAUAAGACUGGGAUAACUUCGGGAAACCGGAGCUAAUACCGGAUAAUAUUUUGAACCGCAUGGUUCAAAAGUGAAAGACGGUCUUGCUGUCACUUAUAGAUGGAUCCGCGCUGCAUUAGCUAGUUGGUAAGGUAACGGCUUACCAAGGCAACGAUGCAUAGCCGACCUGAGAGGGUGAUCGGCCACACUGGAACUGAGACACGGUCCAGACUCCUACGGGAGGCAGCAGUAGGGAAUCUUCCGCAAUGGGCGAAAGCCUGACGGAGCAACGCCGCGUGAGUGAUGAAGGUCUUCGGAUCGUAAAGCUCUGUUAUUAGGGAAGAACAUAUGUGUAAGUAACUGUGCACAUCUUGACGGUACCUAAUCAGAAAGCCACGGCUAACUACGUGCCAGCAGCCGCGGUAAUACGUAGGUGGCAAGCGUUAUCGGGAUUAUUGGGCGUAAAGCGCGCGUAGCCGGUUUUUUAAUGUCUGAUGUGAAAGCCCACGGCUCAACCGGUGGAGGGUCAUUGGAAACUGGAAAACUUGAGUGCAGAAGAGGAAAGUGGAAUUCCGUGUGUAGCGGUGAAAUGCGCAGAGAUAUGGAGGAACACCAGUGGCGAAGGCGACUUUCUGGUCUGUAACUGACGCUGAUGUGCGAAAGCGUGGGGAUCAAACAGGAUUAGAUACCCUGGUAGUCCACGCCGUAAACGAUGAGUGCUAAGUGUUAGGGGGUUUCCGCCCCUUAGUGCUGCAGCUAACGCAUUAAGCACUCCGCCUGGGGAGUACGACCGCAAGGUUGAAACUCAAAGGAAUUGACGGGGACCCGCACAAGCGGUGGAGCAUGUGGUUUAAUUCGAAGCAACGCGAAGAACCUUACCAAAUCUUGACAUCCUUUGACAACUCUAGAGAUAGAGCCUUCCCCUUCGGGGGACAAAGUGACAGGUGGUGCAUGGUUGUCGUCAGCUCGUGUCGUGAGAUGUUGGGUUAAGUCCCGCAACGAGCGCAACCCUUAAGCUUAGUUGCCAUCAUUAAGUUGGGCACUCUAAGUUGACUGCCGGUGACAAACCGGAGGAAGGUGGGGAUGACGUCAAAUCAUCAUGCCCCUUAUGAUUUGGGCUACACACGUGCUACAAUGGACAAUACAAAGGGCAGCGAAACCGCGAGGUCAAGCAAAUCCCAUAAAGUUGUUCUCAGUUCGGAUUGUAGUCUGCAACUCGACUACAUGAAGCUGGAAUCGCUAGUAAUCGUAGAUCAGCAUGCUACGGUGAAUACGUUCCCGGGUCU